AAUUUUCCUACUUUGGGACGCAAUAGGGAUGGCAGCGGCAUCCUUGGGAGCGAAGCGAGGCGUCGGAGCGUAGCGGAGACGACCGAGCGAAGCGCUCCAAGAUACAGCGAACAGCCCGACCGCUA
This 125-nucleotide unclassified non-coding RNA is filed under the name Soonwooa buanensis. Its description in RNAcentral is "Flavo-1 RNA". The record is from RNAcentral. Lineage: Bacteria; Pseudomonadati; Bacteroidota; Flavobacteriia; Flavobacteriales; Weeksellaceae.